This is a long non-coding RNA of Hylaeus anthracinus, 2916 nucleotides long. RefSeq lists it as uncharacterized. The record is from RefSeq and is a predicted model, not a curated record. NCBI's taxonomy places the organism in Eukaryota, Metazoa, Arthropoda, Insecta, Hymenoptera, Colletidae. The transcript has 4 exons.
GAUUCUACCUUUGCUCCAUCCUCUUCGUUUCACUGGACACUGCGAGCUCGUUCUUAACAGUGGCCAGCAAACCUGUUGCUCCAUGGAUCAAGCGAUUGAUAAGUAAUCCCUUCGAUUACCGCUAAACCCCCGAAGCCACGCAAAAGAUUGCAUUUCAAUCGUGAUUUUCAACCGUCUUCCGUUUGAAACCUUUCAUUGGAAACCUAACAAAAUAACCGUUGUUCCAGGAAAGAGAAGUAUAUGUACGAAACGAUUAAAUGCAUUCGCUUAUAGUCAUUCCUACGUCCACGGAAUACAGGAGUGAGAAGGACUAGAGAAGGCAAAAGUGGGGAGAAGUACACAGGAAUUUCUGCGUCUUUCCGAUGCACAAGGCGCCAGCAAAAUAGCCACGUCUGGAUUGCAAAGGAAAUUACAAGAACGAUUAAUUAUACGCAUUCAUGGGAUCGGUUUCAACGCGUUAUCCUAACGGAUCUAAUAAUAACGGAGAUAAACGCAGAUAGAACAAGCAACGAUUAGUUCAAACGAAGAGGAGAACGUUCCAGCCUUGCAAGAGGAUGUUAUCAAGCGAAGUAACGAAUGCCUCCUAUGAAUUUUACUUUACAACAAUCGAUACAAUCUAUUUGUAAUUAUAGCUAGGCUUUAUAAAUACAGUUUCAGCUCGAAGAAUUAGCAUCGAAGUAACUGAAUAGCUUGACGAAUGAUGCGAAUCCACCAACGGCGGUGAAAACGAUGACAAGAUAGAAAGUGGUCGCUUGCGUUCGCAGUGUACCGACCACGUCGUCGUAUAGUAUGCUUCGGCAAAUUUUACGAUCAUUCUCGAAGGUUUAGGACCGGAGAAUUAGACUGAAGAAUGCGACCCAGGGCUUGGUAUACCUUCAAGAUCCUGCGAGGACGUGCCACGGGACUUGCGGGAUAUUUAUGAGCACUCAAGAACACAUUAGAAGAUCCAAUCCUUCGCGAAUGGAAGCUCUUCGGUUGCUUCGUACUGCUUGACCCUCAGUUUUUUGGGGGGAAAACCCACAAUGGUUCCAAUUCAUCGGAAAUUCUAAUUUUUCCACCAUUUUGUUUUCGUUGAAUACGAAUCGAGCGAGUGUAGCUGCAAGAAAAUGUAAAUUAUUCAGUAGAGCGCGGAAACGCAAAAAACAAGGACGAGGAGAUCUUGUAAAUUACAAUUCUCGGCUCAUCCGCGAUCCCUGCGAAGGACGAGUACAAAGGAGGUCGAAGAGAUGUAAUUUGCAGCGGACUCGUUCGAGUAAAAGCAUUAGAGAAGACCGAAACGGAACGAUACAGACGCCACAUUAUGCUCCCCGUCGCAUUAAGAGCUAUAUACAGUAAUGUGUACUUUGUCUCAUGCGAUGUUCGAAAAGAAAAACGUAAUUGCACGUUUUGCGCUACCGGAUCCGCGUUACUCCAAUUCUUUGCUGCUCGCGAAACGAAAUUAGGGUUAUUAACUAGAAAACGUUCGCGAGGGCGCGGAAAAUGUUUGACCUGGUUCGUUGUUCCACUUGCUCGUCGUUUUUUAUUUUUUUUUUUUUUUUUUUUACGAACGGUAAUUCUGUUAAAUUAGUAGGAAUUUGUGAUCGACUCUGAAAUGAGAGACCAAGCAAAUUAUACCCGUACUGUUACACCACUUAGAUUCACCUGACGCAAUCCUAUUAAUCAACCUUUAUUCUAUAAACAACCUGAACCAUUUACCAGAAAAAAUAUUUUUAAAAAAUUACAUUAAAAUAUGAAUUGUUACAGGAAGAUCGAUACCAGAGGGAAGAAGUCAUCCAAUCUGAAAGGAAGCAAACGGUGCUGGAAGUGAAUGAAACGCCUAUGUCGUGGGAAAAUUAUCCGACAAACGUGGAACGAUUCAGGCACGUCGCGGUGCAGGGUGCAGAUGUAGCUUCAGACGAAGCCCGCGGAGAGACCGUCGCGCUUUAGAAAUUAUUUUAUCGCUGGCGACACCAUAAACUGAGGAUUCUUGGACUGUCGUAAACCUCCUGUACCUUGGCUCGAACAUUUCAACGAGCAAUCGCCGCAGCCUGAUCUGCGAGCAUCUCUGGACCAUACAGAGUGUAACUGAGAACAACUGUAAUAGUCCUUAUAAUCGGUUGGGUUGGUUUGACAUUGACAACGCACGCCGCAGCGAAUACGAAAAUUGAUAGUUGAGACAGCAUUUACCGAGCCAGCAAUUUAUUCUAACAUCGGGUGGGCUAAUGUCCACUCCACGCGGAGGUGAGCUUAAGGAAACCGCGCGGAAGUUCGGAGACUAUCGAGAAACCUUUCCUCGAGGACGGCGUUCAGUCAAAAGUAGUACACUACGUAGCAUCGACGUCGAAUCGGACCAUUGUCGACUUAAGGAUACAGAAUUGUCCUUAUCCGGUACAAUUAUCCAGAAAUGAAAAAGACACGCUCUGGGAGCUCCUGAAGGUGUCCAACGGACUGCCGUGAGACAUGCGAUGCUGCGGAAGGAAAUAAUUUCCAGCGAUAUCUUCAACGAAGUAAUUAUCUUCAUCUAGGAAUAACGAAUCGCUCUCAACGAUACAAAAGCAAUCAGGGCGAAACAGCCGUUCUUUCUAAGCGAUUUCGUGUCAUGAGGCACUGCUUAUAGCUUAAUUGACUGUGAACAUCGAACCCACGGUCGCAGCAAGCAACUACCGAAGGUUUUAACGAUCAAAGGCGAGAGUUUCUAGCAUGACACCAUCGUCGACAUAUUCUGACGAUAGUUGGACCCACGUAUGUACGCGCGAAGCUGUCUUUCGAUUGAUUAAUCUUCGAUUGAAGCUUACUUCUCGUUGUACGAGAGAUUUUCUCCUGUAAUUAUAAUGGAAUGAAGUCGAGAUUAGCCGACACGAGGCUCGAGCGAUUACGUACGUAGUAGAAAAAGAUAACGAACAUUAAAUGUUUCCAAUCGAGCCGAUUGAGAUUCAA